Molecule: small RNA, 28 nt
Filed under: Bombyx mori (domestic silkworm)
Lineage: Eukaryota; Metazoa; Arthropoda; Insecta; Lepidoptera; Bombycidae
Description: ovarian small RNA-15936
Source: RNAcentral
GAGGUACUUCAACUACACCCCGACCCGA